Molecule: ribosomal RNA, 200 nt
Filed under: uncultured bacterium
Lineage: Bacteria
Description: partial 16S ribosomal RNA
Rfam family: Bacterial small subunit ribosomal RNA
Source: RNAcentral
AUUGAACGCUGGCGGCAGGCCUAACACAUGCAAGUCGAGCGGGGGUUUUUCGGACCUAGCGGCGGACGGGUGAGUAAUGCGUAGGAAGCUGCCCGAUAGAGGGGGAUACCAGUUGGAAACGACUGUUAAUACCGCAUAAUGUCUACGGACCAAAGUGUGGGACCUUCGGGCCACAUGCUAUCGGAUGCGCCUACGUGGGA